Molecule: transfer RNA, 72 nt
Filed under: Muntiacus reevesi (Reeves' muntjac)
Lineage: Eukaryota; Metazoa; Chordata; Mammalia; Artiodactyla; Cervidae
Also listed under: 6 other names
Rfam family: tRNA
About the family: Transfer RNA (tRNA) molecules are approximately 80 nucleotides in length.
Source: Rfam by way of RNAcentral
UUCCUGGUGGCUCAGAUAGUAAAGAAUCUGCCUACAAUGCAGGAGACCCAGGUUACAUCCCUGGUUGGGAAG